Molecule: ribosomal RNA, 593 nt
Filed under: uncultured Vagococcus sp.
Lineage: Bacteria; Bacillati; Bacillota; Bacilli; Lactobacillales; Enterococcaceae
Description: bacterial SSU rRNA
Rfam family: Bacterial small subunit ribosomal RNA
Source: RNAcentral
CGCCCUUAGAGUUUGAUCAUGGCUCAGGACGAACGCUGGCGGCGUGCCUAAUACAUGCAAGUCGAACGCUGGAGCUUGCUCCAGAGUGGCGGACGGGUGAGUAACACGUGGGCAACCUGCCCAACAGAGGGGGAUAACACUUGGAAACAGGUGCUAAUACCGCAUAAUUUAUGUCCGCAUGGAAGAUAAUAAAAGACGUUCGUGUCACUGUUGGAUGGGCCCGCGUUGCAUUAGUUAGUUGGUGGGGUAAUGGCCUACCAAGACCGUGAUGCAUAGCCGACCUGAGAGGGUGAUCGGCCACACUGGGACUGAGACACGGCCCAGACUCCUACGGGAGGCAGCAGUAGGGAAUCUUCGGCAAUGGACGAAAGUCUGACCGAGCAACGCCGCGUGAGUGAAGAAGGUUUUCGGAUCGUAAAACUCUGUUGUUAGAGAAGAACAAGUGGGAGGUAAUUCCCACCUUGACGGUAUCUAACCAGAAAGCCACGGCUAACUACGUGCCAGCAGCCGCGGUAAUACGUAGGUGGCAAGCGUUGUCCGGAUUUAUUGGGCGUAAGCGAGCGCAGGCGGUCUUUUAGUCUGAUGUGAAGCCC